GCCAGGCGUGGUGGCGCAUGCCUGUAGUCCCAGAUACUUGGGAGGCUGAGGUGGGAGGAUCACUUGAGCCCAGGAGUUCUGGGCUGUGGUGCGCUAUGCCGAUUGGCUGUCUGCACUAAGUUCGGCAUCAAUAUGGUGACCUCCCAGGAGUGGGGGACCACCAGGUUGCCUAAGGAGGGGUGAACUGGCCCAGGUCGGAAACGGAGCAGGUCAAAACUCCCGUGCUGAUCAGUAGUGGGAUCACGCCUGUGAAUAGCCAAAUGUAACAAAGCAAGAUCCCGUCUCUG
Callithrix jacchus (white-tufted-ear marmoset) is the source of this 287-nucleotide unclassified non-coding RNA. It matches the Rfam family "Metazoan signal recognition particle RNA". From Rfam's summary of the family: The signal recognition particle (SRP) is a universally conserved ribonucleoprotein. It is involved in the co-translational targeting of proteins to membranes. The eukaryotic SRP consists of a 300-nucleotide 7S RNA and six proteins: SRPs 72, 68, 54, 19, 14, and 9. NCBI's taxonomy places the organism in Eukaryota, Metazoa, Chordata, Mammalia, Primates, Cebidae. The record is from Ensembl.